RNAcentral lists this ribosomal RNA (253 nucleotides) under uncultured bacterium. RNAcentral describes it as "partial 16S ribosomal RNA". It matches the Rfam family "Bacterial small subunit ribosomal RNA", at positions 524 to 776 of the family's 1533-position model. The record is from RNAcentral.
UACGAAGGACCCGAGCGUUAUCCGGAUUUAUUGGGUUUAAAGGGUGCGUAGGCGGACUUGUAAGUCAGUGGUGAAAUCCUGCGGCUUAACUGCAGAACUGCCAUUGAAACUGCUUGUCUUGAGUACAUUUGAAGCGGGCGGAAUGUGUCAUGUAGCGGUGAAAUGCUUAGAUAUGACACAGAACACCGAUUGCGAAGGCAGCUCGCUAAACUGUAACUGACGCUGAGGCACGAAAGCGUGGGGAGCAAACAGG